RNAcentral lists this ribosomal RNA (465 nucleotides) under uncultured bacterium. RNAcentral's name for it is "partial 16S ribosomal RNA". It matches the Rfam family "Bacterial small subunit ribosomal RNA", at positions 28 to 507 of the family's 1533-position model. The record is from RNAcentral.
GACGAACGCUGGCGGCGUGCUUAACACAUGCAAGUCGAACGGAAAGGCCCCUUUGGGGGUUGUCGAGUGGCGAACGGGUGAGUAACACGUCAGUAACCUGCCCUUGACUUCGGGAUAACUUCAGGAAACUGGGGCUAAUCCCGGAUAGGAAUCCUUGCUGCAUGGUGGGGGUUGGAAAGCUUCGGCGGUUUUGGAUGGACUCGCGGCUUAUCAGCUUGUUGGUGGGGUAGUGGCUUACCAAGGCGUUGACGGGUAGCCGGCCUGAGAGGGCGACCGGCCACAUUGGGACUGAGAUACGGCCCAGGCUCCUACGGGAGGCAGCAGUGGGGAAGAUUGCACAAUGGGCGGAAGCCUGAGGCAGCAACGCCGCGUGCGGGAUGACGGCCUUGGGGUUGUAAAACGCUUUCAGCAGGGGCGAAGCUUGUGGUGACGGUACCUGAAGAAGAAGCACCGGCUAACUACGUG